UGUGUAGGCGGCCGAAUAAGUCAGGGGUGAAAGUCAACAGCUUAACUGUUGAAGUGCCUUUGAUACUGUUUGGCUGGAGUGCUGGAGAGGAUAGUGGAAUUCCCAGUGUAGCGGUGAAAUGCGUAGAUAUUGGGAAGAACACCGGUGGCGAAGGCGGCUAUCUGGCCAGUUACUGACGCUGAGACACGAAAGCCAGGGGAGCAAACGGGAUUAGAUACCCCGGUAGUCCUGGCUGUAAACGAUGGACACUCGAUGUGGGAGGUAUUGACCCCUUCCAUGUCAAAGCUAACGCAUUAAGUGUCCCGCCUGGGGAGUACGGCCGCAAGGUUGAA
Molecule: ribosomal RNA, 332 nt
Filed under: uncultured bacterium
Lineage: Bacteria
Description: bacterial SSU rRNA
Rfam family: Bacterial small subunit ribosomal RNA
Source: RNAcentral